UUAGAUACCCGGGUAGUCCUAGCCGUAAACGAUACUCGCUAGGUGUCGGCCACGGUGCGACCGUUGUCGGUGCCGUAGGGAAGCCGUGAAGCGAGCCACCCGGGAAGUACGGCCGCAGGGCUGAAACUUAAAGGAAUUGGCGGGGGAGCACCACGACGGGUGGAGCUUGCGGUUUAAUUGGAUUCAUCGCCGGAAAUCUUACCGGGACCGACAGCAAUAUGAAGGCCAGGCUGAAGACUUUGCCGGAUUAGCUGAGAGGAGGUGCAUGGC
RNAcentral lists this ribosomal RNA (270 nucleotides) under uncultured archaeon. RNAcentral's name for it is "partial 16S ribosomal RNA". It matches the Rfam family "Archaeal small subunit ribosomal RNA", at positions 729 to 998 of the family's 1478-position model. The record is from RNAcentral.